CGUAGAUUUCAUAUCAGCGAGAAAUUAUCUAAAACAAAUAAAAGAUUCCAUUAAUGCACACCUUUAUAGGGUUAGUGUUCCCCAUAUCUACAGGUUAGUGUUCCCCAUAUCUACAGGUUAGUGUUCCCCAUAUCUACAGGUUAGUGAUCCCCAUAUCUACAGGUUAGUGUUCCCCAUAUCUACAGGUUAGUGUUCCCCAUAUCUACAGGUUAGUGUUCCCCAUAUCUACAGGUUAGUGUUCCCCAUAUCUACAGGUUAG
Long non-coding RNA from Oncorhynchus keta (chum salmon), 259 nucleotides. RefSeq lists it as uncharacterized. The record is from RefSeq and is a predicted model, not a curated record. The transcript has 3 exons. Lineage: Eukaryota; Metazoa; Chordata; Actinopteri; Salmoniformes; Salmonidae.